ACUCCUACGGGAGGCAGCAGUGGGGAAUAUUGGACAAUGGGCGCAAGCCUGAUCCAGCAAUGCCGCGUGUGUGAAGAAGGCCUGCGGGUUGUAAAGCACUUUCAGUAGAGAAGAAAAGCUUAAGGUUAAUACCCUUGAGUCUUGACGUAACCUACAGAAGAAGCACCGGCUAACUCCGUGCCAGCAGCCGCGGUAAU
This 197-nucleotide ribosomal RNA is filed under the name uncultured bacterium. RNAcentral's name for it is "partial 16S ribosomal RNA". It matches the Rfam family "Bacterial small subunit ribosomal RNA", at positions 335 to 524 of the family's 1533-position model. The record is from RNAcentral.